AUGGCCGCUCCCGGCCAACUGCUCCCCUUGACCCGCUCGCUUCUGCCUCCCUCCGCUCCCCCCUUCCUCUCCGGCCGCCGUCGCCUGCCUCCUCCCGCCCGCGCUCAAACCUCGCGUCCGCCUCCAUGGCAGCCCCGCCGCCUCGCGUGUCCUUCUCCUCUUCAGCCGCUCCGCCCUCUGGCCGGGAACAGGACCCGCCCCGUUGCUGCGCCUCCUGGGGCCUCCGCCGCCGGUGGAGGCGAGGCGCAGGCUCUGGCGGCGGAGUUCAUGACGUCUGAGAGGGUGAAGGUGGCGGCGAUGCUGGGGCUGGCCCUCGCGCUCUGCAACGCCGACCGCGUCGUCAUGUCCGUGGCCAUCGUCCCGCUCUCCCAGGCGUACGGAUGGACCCCUUCCUUCGCCGGCGUCGUGCAGUCGUCCUUCCUUUGGGGAUAUCUGAUAUCACCUAUAAUCGGUGGAGCGCUUGUUGACUACUACGGCGGGAAGCGAGUCAUGGCGUAUGGUGUGGCUUUAUGGUCCUUCGCUACAUUCCUUUCCCCUUGGGCAGCUGCACGCUCACUUUGGUUGUUCAUCUCAACUAGAAUUCUGCUCGGUGUUGCAGAAGGAGUGGCAUUGCCAUGUAUGAACAAUAUGGUGCUGAGGUGGUUUCCUCGUACUGAACGAUCUAGUGCUGUGGGGAUCGCGAUGGCUGGCUUUCAGCUUGGAAAUACCAUCGGCUUACUUCUUUCCCCUAUUAUCAUGUCACGAACUGGAACAUUUGGACCCUUUGUGAUUUUUGGUUUGUUUGGAUUUCUGUGGGUGCUGGUGUGGAUAUCUGCUAUAACGGGAACUCCUGGUGAACAUCCUCAAAUAUCAGCAUAUGAACUAGAGUAUAUUACAAAGGGUCAGAAAUUGGUGAAACCUCAAGUUCAAAGUGAAAAACUAAGAAAGAUCCCUCCGUUUAGAAACCUACUUUCUAAAUGGCCGACCUGGGCUUUAAUUUCUGCAAAUGCUAUGCAUAGCUGGGGCUAUUUCGUCAUCCUUUCAUGGAUGCCAGUGUAUUUCAAAACCAUAUUUCAUGUCAAUCUGAGAGAAGCUGCAUGGUUUAGUGCAAUUCCCUGGGUCAUGAUGGCAGUUUUAGGUUAUGUGGCUGGUGUUGUAUCAGACGCACUUAUCCGGAAUGGCACAAGCAUUACUUUAACUCGGAAGAUAAUGCAGACAAUUGGCUUUGUGGGUCCUGGUAUUGCUCUUAUUGGUUUGAAUGCAGCAAAGAGUCCAGCCAUUGCUUCAGCUUGGCUAACUAUUGCUGUUGGUUUGAAGUCCUUUGGUCACUCAGGAUUCCUUGUAAAUUUUCAGGAGAUCGCCCCACAAUAUGCUGGAGUGCUACAUGGAAUGGCAAAUACGGCGGGAACAUUUGCUGCCAUUUUAGGAACUAUUGGAGCAGGAUUCUUUGUUGAUCGGAUGGGUUCUUUCCGUGGAUUUUUAACAUUAACAUCACUUCUAUAUUUCAGCAGUGCCCUGUUCUGGGAUAUCUUUGCUACUGGAGAGCGUGUUGAUUUUGAUGGCAGUAGCUAG
This 1551-nucleotide ribosomal RNA is filed under the name Triticum aestivum (bread wheat). RNAcentral describes it as "partial small subunit ribosomal RNA". Lineage: Eukaryota; Viridiplantae; Streptophyta; Magnoliopsida; Poales; Poaceae. The record is from RNAcentral.